GAUGAACGCUGGCGGCGUGCCUAAUACAUGCAAGUCGAGCGAACAGACGAGGAGCUUGCUCCUCUGACGUUAGCGGCGGACGGGUGAGUAACACGUGGAUAACCUACCUAUAAGACUGGGAUAACUUCGGGAAACCGGAGCUAAUACCGGAUAAUAUAUUGAACCGCAUGGUUCAAUAGUGAAAGACGGUUUUGCUGUCACUUAUAGAUGGAUCCGCGCCGCAUUAGCUAGUUGGUAAGGUAACGGCUUACCAAGGCAACGAUGCGUAGCCGACCGGAGAGGAGGCUCGGCCACACUGGAACUGCGCCCCGGCCCAGGCUCCUCGGGGAGGCAGCAGAGGGCAAUCUUCGGCAAGGGGGGAAACCUUGCCGGAACACCCCCGGGUGAGAGAAAAAGUCUUUCGGUUCAUAAACUUCUUUUUUGGGGAAAAAAAAAAUGUGAACUUAAAAAGCCCCUUUUUGAGGUUCCUUACCAGAAAACCACCGGCUAACUACGUC
This 497-nucleotide ribosomal RNA is filed under the name uncultured bacterium. RNAcentral's name for it is "partial 16S ribosomal RNA". It matches the Rfam family "Bacterial small subunit ribosomal RNA", at positions 28 to 507 of the family's 1533-position model. The record is from RNAcentral.